This 471-nucleotide ribosomal RNA is filed under the name uncultured bacterium. RNAcentral's name for it is "partial 16S ribosomal RNA". It matches the Rfam family "Bacterial small subunit ribosomal RNA", at positions 29 to 507 of the family's 1533-position model. The record is from RNAcentral.
ACGAACGCUGACGGCGUGCUUAACACAUGCAAGUCGAACGAUGAACCCGGAGCUUGCUCUGGGGGAUUAGUGGCGAACGGGUGAGUAACACGUGAGUAACCUGCCCUGGACUCUGGGAUAAGCGUUGGAAACGACGUCUAAUACCGGAUAGGACCUUGGAUCGCAUGAUCUGGGGUGGAAAGUUUUUUCGGUCUGGGAUGGACUCGCGGCCUAUCAGCUUGUUGGUGAGGUAAUGGCUCACCAAGGCGUCGACGGGUAGCCGGCCUGAGAGGGUGACCGGCCACACUGGGACUGAGACACGGCCCAGACUCCUACGGGAGGCAGCAGUGGGGAAUAUUGCACAAUGGGCGAAAGCCUGAUGCAGCAACGCCGCGUGCGGGAUGACGGCCUUCGGGUUGUAAACCGCUUUUAGUAGGGAAGAAGGGCUUCGGCUUGACGGUACCUGCAGAAAAAGGACCGGCUAACUACGUG